Long non-coding RNA from Equus caballus (horse), 1985 nucleotides. RefSeq lists it as uncharacterized. The record is from RefSeq and is a predicted model, not a curated record. Lineage: Eukaryota; Metazoa; Chordata; Mammalia; Perissodactyla; Equidae.
CACCAGCAAGAGUAAGAGGGGACAUCAGCAGGCAGUGGAGUGAAGAGAGUGGAUUAAAGUAAGCAUGGUUUGAGUCUGAGGAGCUUCUAGUCUUGACUAUUCCAACACUUUGCAAUUAAAUGGUAGUGAUGGCAGGCGUUGCAAGGGUGCCGGAUACUGUCACACACAACUGGGAUGGGAAUCUUGGCAUAGCCGUGUCCUCCCACAGCUGGCUGAGGCCUCAGCAUGCGCUAUAAAUAGCAGGGACAAAUACAAUCAAUCCUGCUUUCAAAAUGCAAUUCAUGAGAUCUCUGCAGAGAAGUGAACUCGACAGCACACUGCAAUCUUUCUACCAUGGAACUGGAAGAGACAAGCAAGAUCCUCCUAGGCAUCUAGUUUCUGGACACGAUUGGACCCAUCGCACAUCCAAGUCCACUUAACAAGCUCUGUUCGAACAGGGUUAAACAGAGUCCACACACACGAAGUUCUGUUCCUCCCGAGAAAGACGUUCCUAGCUGAAUUUUUGGUUACGGAGGAACCAUCUACUUCAUCUAAGAUUUGUGAAUGCAUCCUCAGCCUCAUAAUUGCAUAUUUUAGCUAGGUUUAGAUUUUCCAGAAAGUAAAAAAGCACUUAGGCAGUGGGUUGCGUGUAAUUCACUCUUUAAAUGCUUUUGGGGGCGCAGAAAUAGCGCCUGCUCUUCAAGAAAGUCUGCCCAGCAACUUGCCACUUUGGGAAUUUUCCUGGCCUGCUUGAUCAAAACUCAACGAUGAGUUGAGUCUAGAGGAAUUGGCACUGGACCUCCAUUCUCUUGAUCCUGUGGCUGAUGAAAAGGUUCUGGGAGUUUGGGCAGCUCGGUGCUCUUUCCUAGCAAGAGAGUGAGGGGUCCAAAUUCCAGAGACUUCCCUCUGAGCUGCUAGUGACUCCCACCGAGCGUUGGAUAAAUGCACAUAUGCCCUUCAAUCAAGCCAAGACUCCUGAAAAGAACGUUCUCUCGGCAGGCGAGACGAUUUGAAAGAACUUGCCGGCAAGCACUUCAGUCCUCCAUCUUUCCUCUCUUUGUUGAAAUGGCUUUACCAGUAAAACUGCUGCUAAUGAGGUGGUUUAUCUGGUUUUAUUGCCCUUAAUUUUAUUACCCGCCCAAUAUAAUCUUGGCCCAAGCUUCCCCUGCUUAGAGGCAUGGUAAAAGCUUUAUGUCUAGGAAAGCCCCACCCAAGAAGAGAUUUUACUUUCUUGGAUGUGGGCUGCGAGCCAGGCCCGUAGGCUGAGGUGCUGGCCCCUUCAACAGCUUCAUUUAGAAGCUCUAAACCAUUCUAUAAUCUUCUUUUCUGGCCUUGGUGGAGGUAGACUCAGAGAACCGAGAUUAAAUGAGUAAGCCCAAAGAAAGAGGCGAAGACCAAAGACCUAAUUUUCCAUCUCUCAAGGUUAUCAGAAUCGCUAUUUCAGAUUUUACUUGCUUUGGCGUCCAACCACUGAGAAACGUUUGUGGUCAGAGCAAGACAUCAACCAUCUCGAGUCUUGGCUGGGGGCUGGGCUCCCGCAAAGCCUCUCACGGGUGAAGUCAAGCAACUGGGCGAAGAGCGGUGAGGCGGGAGAAGAAACGAGCAGGUGGAAAAUGGAGGAAGUGGAGACUAGAUCUCAGCGAGAAGGGUGGAGCACUCCUUGUCGUUUGUCUGGCGCGGGGCGCGAUCUUGCUAUCUGGCGAUUUCACUUCUCUGAGGGGCUCUCCAUGUCUCUGCCGCCCUUCUAAGGAGUAGGUUUGUCUACAGGGACCCCGAGUUCUUUCUCACUGCCCACAUCCACAGAUCGGGCAGUUAUUGUUACUACUUUAAGAACCUGGUAUUCCUGUUUCCACCGCCAAACCCUUAUAGAACAUUCUUCCUGAUACCUUUCAUUUAAAUGCAUGUAAUAAAACACUUUUGGGUGUCAGUGCCUGUGUCAAUUUGAUUUUACACUUGCUGCUCUUUCUCAACUACUCAUGGAAAAUUUGUUUUCUCUUCCUUCUAUG